GAUGAACGCUGGCGGCGUGCCUAAUACAUGCAAGUCGAGCGAACAGACGAGGAGCUUGCUCCUCUGACGUUAGCGGCGGACGGGUGAGUAACACGUGGAUAACCUACCUAUAAGACUGGGAUAACUUCGGGAAACCGGAGCUAAUACCGGAUAAUAUAUUGAACCGCAGGGUUCAAUAGUGAAAGACGGUUUUGCUGUCACUUAUAGAUGGAUCCGCGCCGCAUUAGCUAGUUGGUAAGGUAACGGCUUACCAAGGCAACGAUGCGUAGCCGACCUGAGAGGGUGAUCGGCCCCACUGGAACUGAGACACGGUCAGACUCCUACGGGAGGCAGCAGUAGGGAAUCUUCCGCAAUGGGCGAAAGCCUGACGGAGCAACGCCGCGUGAGUGAUGAAGGUCUUCGGAUCGUAAAACUCUGUUAUUAGGGAAGAACAAAUGUGUAAGUAACUAUGCACGUCUUGACGGUACCUAAUCAGAAAGCCACGGCUAACUACGUG
RNAcentral lists this ribosomal RNA (496 nucleotides) under uncultured bacterium. RNAcentral describes it as "partial 16S ribosomal RNA". It matches the Rfam family "Bacterial small subunit ribosomal RNA", at positions 28 to 507 of the family's 1533-position model. The record is from RNAcentral.